GGGAAAUAGAUCAGUUGGUAGAGUGCUUCCCUCCCAUGCAUAAGGCCAUGGGUUCAAUCCCCAGUCCCA
Molecule: transfer RNA, 69 nt
Filed under: Marmota monax (woodchuck)
Lineage: Eukaryota; Metazoa; Chordata; Mammalia; Rodentia; Sciuridae
Description: tRNA.Gly
Source: RNAcentral